GAUGAACGCUGGCGGCGUGCCUAAUACAUGCAAGUCGAGCGAACAGAUGAGAAGCUUGCUUCUCUGAUGUUAGCGGCGGACGGGUGAGUAACACGUGGGUAACCUACCUAUAAGACUGGGAUAACUCCGGGAAACCGGGGCUAAUACCGGAUAAUACUUUGAACCGCAUGGUUCAAUAGUGAAAGACGGUUUCGGCUGUCACUUAUAGAUGGACCCGCGCCGUAUUAGCUAGUUGGUAAGGUAACGGCUUACCAAGGCGACGAUACGUAGCCGACCUGAGAGGGUGAUCGGCCACACUGGAACUGAGACACGGUCCAGACUCCUACGGGAGGCAGCAGUAGGGAAUCUUCCGCAAUGGGCGAAAGCCUGACGGAGCAACGCCGCGUGAGUGAUGAAGGUCUUCGGAUCGUAAAACUCUGUUGUUAGGGAAGAACAAAUUUGUUAGUAACUGAGCAAGUCUUGACGGUACCUAACCAGAAAGCCACGGCUAACUACGUGCCAGCAGCCGCGGUAAUACGUAGGUGGCAAGCGUUAUCCGGAAUUAUUGGGCGUAAAGCGCGCGUAGGCGGUUUCUUAAGUCUGAUGUGAAAGCCCACGGCUCAACCGUGGAGGGUAAUUGGAAACUGGGAAACUUGAGUGCAGAAGAGGAGAGUGGAAUUCCAUGUGUAGCGGUGAAAUGCGCAGAGAUAUGGAGGAACACCAGUGGCGAAGGCGGCUCUCUGGUCUGUAACUGACGCUGAUGUGCGAAAGCGUGGGGAUCAAACAGGAUUAGAUACCCUGGUAGUCCACGCCGUAAACGAUGAGUGCUAAGUGUUAGGGGGUUUCCGCCCCUUAGUGCUGCAGCUAACGCAUUAAGCACUCCGCCUGGGGAGUACGACCGCAAGGUUGAAACUCAAAGGAAUUGACGGGGACCCGCACAAGCGGUGGAGCAUGUGGUUUAAUUCGAAGCAACGCGAAGAACCUUACCAAAUCUUGACAUCCUUUGACCGCUCUAGAGAUAGAGUCUUCCCCUUCGGGGGACAAAGUGACAGGUGGUGCAUGGUUGUCGUCAGCUCGUGUCGUGAGAUGUUGGGUUAAGUCCCGCAACGAGCGCAACCCUUAAGCUUAGUUGCCAUCAUUAAGUUGGGCACUCUAGAUUGACUGCCGGUGACAAACCGGAGGAAGGUGGGGAUGACGUCAAAUCAUCAUGCCCCUUAUGAUUUGGGCUACACACGUGCUACAAUGGAUAAUACAAAGGGCAGCGAAUCCGCGAGGCCAAGCAAAUCCCAUAAAAUUAUUCUCAGUUCGGAUUGUAGUCUGCAACUCGACUACAUGAAGCUGGAAUCGCUAGUAAUCGUAGAUCAGCAUGCUACGGUGAAUACGUUCCCGGGUCU
Molecule: ribosomal RNA, 1373 nt
Filed under: uncultured bacterium
Lineage: Bacteria
Description: bacterial SSU rRNA
Rfam family: Bacterial small subunit ribosomal RNA
Source: RNAcentral